GUAACCUUUAAGUUUAGUCCCGUGAGGCUAAGAAGGAAUCAUGCAAAAGAACACUAGGUGCGCUUAGUUAGUAAGUUGUGUGGGCUACAUGGUACCCUUGUACCUUUUUAAACUGUAACCAACAUCCUCCUAUCCUCAUACGGGUAGGAGGAUUUUUUGU
Sphingobacterium faecium PCAi_F2.5 is the source of this 160-nucleotide non-coding RNA. Lineage: Bacteria; Pseudomonadati; Bacteroidota; Sphingobacteriia; Sphingobacteriales; Sphingobacteriaceae. The record is from Rfam.